RNAcentral lists this ribosomal RNA (502 nucleotides) under uncultured bacterium. RNAcentral's name for it is "partial 16S ribosomal RNA". It matches the Rfam family "Bacterial small subunit ribosomal RNA", at positions 30 to 523 of the family's 1533-position model. The record is from RNAcentral.
AUUGAACGCUGGCGGCAUGCUUUACACAUGCAAGUCGAACGGCAGCACGGGUGCUUGCACCUGGUGGCGAGUGGCGAACGGGUGAGUAAUACAUCGGAACGUACCGGGUAGAGGGGGAUAGCUCGACGAAAGUCGAAUUAAUACCGCAUGACACCUCAGGGAAAAAGCGGGGGAUCGCAAGACCUCGAGCUACCAGAGCGACCGAUGACAGAUUGGGUAGUUGGUGGGGUAAGAGCCUACCAAGCUUACGAUCUGUAGCUGGUCUGAGAGGAUGAUCAGCCACACUGGGACUGAGACACGGCCCAGACUCCUACGGGAGGCAGCAGUGGGGAAUUUUGGACAAUGGGGGCAACCCUGAUCCAGCCAUGCCGCGUGCAGGAAGAAGGCCUUCGGGUUGUAAACUGCUUUUGUCAGGGAAGAAAAGGUACGUGCUAAUACCAUGUACUGAUGACGGUACCUGAAGAAUAAGCACCGGCUAACUACGUGCCAGCAGCCGCCGUAA